Molecule: long non-coding RNA, 1399 nt
Organism: Sander lucioperca (pikeperch)
Lineage: Eukaryota; Metazoa; Chordata; Actinopteri; Perciformes; Percidae
Exons: 3
Source: RefSeq, a predicted model, not a curated record
GCUUCUUCUGCAUCUGGGGACCCCUCCCAAAGAAGAUGUAGUUGACGAAGGCGUACUCCAGCAGGGCCAGGAAGACCAUGACGAAGCAGCCCAUCAGCUUUCCGAACCAAUCAGGGUCCGGUGAGGUGCUACUGGCAGCUACGGGCUUGGUUUAGGUGUGUGUGACGGCCGCGACUGUUUGUUCUAAACAACUGCCGACGUGAAAGACAGAUAGUUCAUCCAAUCCCCUGCCAGGAAACCCAGCCCUCCAUCUCAGCAUCACAUAAUGGCCUGAGAGGGAAAAAAAAUGGAUUUACAUCAGCACUUCUACUACAGCGAGUGAGCUAGGAAAUCAUGCUGUGUAAGUGCCAAUGUACAGAGAUGACUGCAUGUAUUAUACGGUCGAGUAAACACAGAGGAAACAGUGUUUAUAUGUAAAUUCACUCACCAUGUUGACUUCUGACACCAUGUCUAUGCUGGCCACGUCUAUGCUCAUCCCGACUGCAACAGGGGCCCCUGGAGGAGGUUACACAGCAUAAAAAUGUAUAUAGGCCUACACCUGUGAAUGAAAGACUGUGAAUGGCGCCAAAAGUGAAGCGAAAUUGAUGGACGUAAAUACGACACAUACCUCCAAAGUCCGGCCUCAGUCGGAUAUCAUAUCCCUUCAGUAGUUUAUCCACCGUCUCCUUCACGAAAGACAUGUUGCCCGGUUCAUUGACGCUAGAAACAAGAAGGAAAACAUCACCUUGACUCCUGUGUUUUUUUAUGGUCAAUCAGCCGGGGCAAUAACCUUGACUUUACAGAAUGACAAAAGCACUCACCUUUUCGCGCAACACACAAUCGAACCGACAACCAGUGCGGAUAAGACGCGAAACUGACGAACCCUGUGCAAAGCAAACAUCACCCUUUCCUAUUUCUUUAUUUCUUUCUUUUCCGCUCUUUACAACCACAAUAACAGCAACAGUCGAGACGGCUCCGGACGCUCUUCAAAUCAGAGUAAAUCCAUUGAUUGCCCGAGAGGAGAAAGUCGACUGAGAAGGUGGGGGGCGGGAGGGGGGGAGUCAGCAGCUUGCAGUGGAUGGAGUCAGAUAUGAAAUAUGGGCAGACAUCGGCUCCUCGGCAUGAACACUGGCUCCGCUUUUCUUUGCCGUCUCUGACUGUGAGGCUCUUACAUUCAGGAGCUGAAGCGCAUAUAUUGAUGAGGAGGGUGUGCAGGGAUGCUGCUGCUGGUGGCGGUGAAGGCACUCUGCUUGUUCAAAUGAAAGACGAAGCCCAACACUUACACACUGCAAAAAAUUACCCCACAUUAGCUGCAGUAUAUUCAGGGGUUUUUAUUUGAGGGGAAAUAUCCCAACAGAUAAAAUUCAGUUUCCUUUCUUUCUAAUGCACAUUUACUUUUUUUCAAAUCAUUUAACUGUUU